Molecule: transfer RNA, 73 nt
Filed under: Ictidomys tridecemlineatus (thirteen-lined ground squirrel)
Lineage: Eukaryota; Metazoa; Chordata; Mammalia; Rodentia; Sciuridae
Description: Spermophilus tridecemlineatus (thirteen-lined ground squirrel) tRNA
Rfam family: tRNA
About the family: Transfer RNA (tRNA) molecules are approximately 80 nucleotides in length. Their secondary structure includes four short double-helical elements and three loops (D, anti-codon, and T loops).
Source: Rfam by way of RNAcentral
GGGGGUAUAGCUCAGUGGAAGAGUACCUGCCUAGCAUGUGUUAAGGCCCUGGGUUCAAUCCCUUGUACUGCCA